UUCUUUUUGAUUUUAUGAAAAGUAAAACCUGCCCACUGAUUGAUUUUGAAGGGCCGCGGUAUUUUGACCGUGCAAAGGUAGCAUAAUCAUUAGUCUCUUAAUUAGAGGAUGGAAUGAAUGGUUUAACUUUAAUAUAUUUUAUUAUGACUAUUUUUUGAAUUUAGGUUAUAAGUGAAAAUACUUAUGUUUAUCUGUAAGACGAUAAGACCCUAUAGAUCUUUAUUUUGAACUUAUUAAAUAGUUUGGGGGAAUUAUUUAAUAAGAUAAAAUUUUUAGCUGGGGCAGCUUAAGUAAUAAAUAAAACUUCUUGUAUUAUAGGUUUUAAAAUUUUUUACCUCUGAUGAGAAUUUAAAAAGUUACCUUAGGGAUAACAGCGUAAUCAAUCUAGAGAGCCCAUAUCGAUAGAUUGGAUUGCGACCUCGAUGUUGAAUUAAGAAACCUAAUUAGGGCAGCUUUUAGUUAAGGUGGUUUGUUCAACCAUUAAAUUCUUACA
RNAcentral lists this ribosomal RNA (493 nucleotides) under Ceratophysella gibbosa. RNAcentral describes it as "partial 16S ribosomal RNA". It matches the Rfam family "Bacterial large subunit ribosomal RNA", at positions 1831 to 2600 of the family's 2925-position model. Lineage: Eukaryota; Metazoa; Arthropoda; Collembola; Poduromorpha; Hypogastruridae. The record is from RNAcentral.